GGGGAUUUGGCUCAGUGGUAGAGCGCUUGCCCAGGAAGCGCAAAGUCCUGGGUUCGAUCCCCAGCCCCG
Non-coding RNA from Rattus norvegicus (Norway rat), 69 nucleotides. NCBI's taxonomy places the organism in Eukaryota, Metazoa, Chordata, Mammalia, Rodentia, Muridae. The record is from Rfam.